GCGGCGGCGCCCACCCGCUCCCCACGAAGCGCCGCGCGCACCAGCCGCUCCCAAUUCGCCUCCGCCCGCGACAUUUCGGAGACGAGACCUCGAGAACACGACAACUACUCACAAUCCUGAAAUCGAAUCCCCAAACCACGGACCAUCAACACCGAUUCCGAAGCUUCUUCCCGAACCACAAGCCAAAAAAAAAAAAAGGAUUUAGAAGCUAAUCUCUACCAAAAAUGGCGAUCACAAACAAGGAAACCCUAGAUGAAGAGAGCCCUUACCACGGGGAAACGAUCGAAGAACACGAAAUCAGCGAAAAGAAACGGAUCGAACGAGAGCAAAAGAGGGGGGGA
This 341-nucleotide long non-coding RNA is filed under the name Ananas comosus (pineapple). RNAcentral's name for it is "long non-coding RNA (ACOM_LNC014083)". Lineage: Eukaryota; Viridiplantae; Streptophyta; Magnoliopsida; Poales; Bromeliaceae. The record is from RNAcentral.